Molecule: ribosomal RNA, 322 nt
Filed under: uncultured eukaryote
Lineage: Eukaryota
Description: partial 18S ribosomal RNA
Rfam family: Eukaryotic small subunit ribosomal RNA
Source: RNAcentral
CCCUUAGAUGUUCUGGGCCGCACGCGUGCUACACUGAGUGGAUCAGCGGGUCAGGUUGCGCGAAAGUGUUUCCUAAUCUUUAAAUCCGCUCGUGAUGGGGAUUGACGGUUGCAAUUUUCCGUCAUGAACGAGGAAUACCUUGUAAGCGCGGGUCAUCAUCCCGCGCUGAAUACGUCCCUGCCCUUUGUACACACCGCCCGUCGCUCCUACCGAUUGAGUGGUCCGGUGAGGCUUUGGGAUCUGAGCGGAAAGAGCGUUUCGCUGUUUCUGCCCGGAAAACUCAGUCGAACCUUAUCAUUUAGAGGAAGGAGUAGUCGUAACA